This 464-nucleotide ribosomal RNA is filed under the name uncultured bacterium. RNAcentral describes it as "bacterial SSU rRNA". It matches the Rfam family "Bacterial small subunit ribosomal RNA", at positions 917 to 1382 of the family's 1533-position model. The record is from RNAcentral.
GGGCCCGCACAAGCGGCGGAGCAUGUGGAUUAAUUCGAUGCAACGCGAAGAACCUUACCAAGGCUUGACAUAUACCGGAAACACCCAGAGAUGGGUGCCCCGCAAGGUCGGUAUACAGGUGGUGCAUGGUUGUCGUCAGCUCGUGUCGUGAGAUGUUGGGUUAAGUCCCGCAACGAGCGCAACCCUCGUUCUAUGUUGCCAGCGCGUAAAGGCGGGGACUCAUAGGAGACUGCCGGGGUCAACUCGGAGGAAGGUGGGGAUGACGUCAAAUCAUCAUGCCCCUUAUGUCUUGGGCUUCACACAUGCUACAAUGGCCGGUACAAAGGGCUGCGAAAUCGCGAGAUGGAGCGAAUCCCAAAAAACCGGUCUCAGUUCGGAUUGGGGUCUGCAACUCGACCCCAUGAAGUCGGAGUCGCUAGUAAUCGCAGAUCAGCAAUGCUGCGGUGAAUACGUUCCCGGGCCUU